AAUCAAACAAAAAUGAACGGAGGA
This 24-nucleotide small nuclear RNA is filed under the name Arabidopsis thaliana (thale cress). RNAcentral's name for it is "snRNA_06873". The record is from RNAcentral. Lineage: Eukaryota; Viridiplantae; Streptophyta; Magnoliopsida; Brassicales; Brassicaceae.